UAAGCCGUUAAUCGGUAGUACGCCCGUUACAUUACGAAUUGAUUCAUUGCGUUUAAGGCCCGAGUGCCCCAUCAUUUAGUUAAACAGGUAGUUACACCUGAGCGUCCGCAGCACAGCGAAGUGCUCGCGAAGAGGUCCGAGUGCCUACAAGCCGUAACACUGUGAAUAGCGUUCACGAAGAAGCUUAUGAGCUUAGAGCCACAGCGCUGCGAAUAGCAUUCGUGAAGAGGCCAGUGUGCCUAUGUCAGAACUAAUGUCUCAUAUCAAGGAUCUUGUAACAUCUCGCUAUUUGACAUUUGCAACGUCUCACUAUGUGAAACGUUGCAAUGCCCUGCUAAAUCUCAGCACUGCCUCGCUCAUAUGAUCGAGCAUAUCCUUUCUUAUAAAUACUGCCUGAUUAUCAUGUAAUUAUCGGAG
RNAcentral lists this small RNA (417 nucleotides) under Histoplasma capsulatum var. duboisii H88. Its description in RNAcentral is "Histoplasma capsulatum H88 hypothetical RNA". Lineage: Eukaryota; Fungi; Ascomycota; Eurotiomycetes; Onygenales; Ajellomycetaceae. The record is from RNAcentral.